ACGUGAUCUGAGUUCAGACCGGAGUAAUCCAGGUCAGUUUCUAUCUAUAAGGAGCUUUUUUUAGUACGAAAGGACCAAAAAAGCAUGGCCCCUGUUUUCAGCAAACCAUUUCUAUUAAUUUAUGUCUAAAACUUAACUCUUACAUAGUCCUUCCCCCUGUUCAAGAAAAGAACA
Molecule: ribosomal RNA, 174 nt
Filed under: Eupsophus calcaratus (Chiloe Island ground frog)
Lineage: Eukaryota; Metazoa; Chordata; Amphibia; Anura; Alsodidae
Description: partial 16S ribosomal RNA
Source: RNAcentral